UUGAUUUAUGCCAUAAACGACUAAAAAAACAAAACAAAACAACAAACAAAUAUCUAUGUAGAUGCGUUUUGAUCAACUGACUAUACAAUUUUUCAGAUUCACCCCAGCCACGUCACCGCUUCCAUGCCACACCUCUGCCAUCGCAACAGGGGAACAAUCAGUUGCUGCGUGAUUCACCGUCUUCAGAAACCCCGCCAGGCCCUUUCCUUCACAGCCAGCCACUAACCCAUGAUUCACCCCAGCCACGUCACCGCUUCCAUG
Long non-coding RNA from Neoarius graeffei (lesser salmon catfish), 261 nucleotides. RefSeq lists it as uncharacterized. The transcript is spliced from 4 exons. The record is from RefSeq and is a predicted model, not a curated record. Lineage: Eukaryota; Metazoa; Chordata; Actinopteri; Siluriformes; Ariidae.